Molecule: ribosomal RNA, 503 nt
Filed under: uncultured bacterium
Lineage: Bacteria
Description: partial 16S ribosomal RNA
Rfam family: Bacterial small subunit ribosomal RNA
Source: RNAcentral
AUUGAACGCUGGCGGCAGGCUUAACACAUGCAAGUCGAGCGGGGUGAUGGUGCUUGCACUAUCACUUAGCGGCGGACGGGUGAGUAAUGCUUAGGAAUCUGCCUAUUAGUGGGGGACAACAUCUCGACAGGGAUGCUAAUACCGCAUACGUCCUACGGGAGAAAGCAGGGGAUCACUUGUGACCUUGCGCUAAUAGAUGAGCCUAAGUCGGAUUAGCUAGUUGGUGGGGUAAAGGCCUACCAAGGCGACGAUCUGUAGCGGGUCUGAGAGGAUGAUCCGCCACACUGGGACUGAGACACGGCCCAGACUCCUACGGGAGGCAGCAGUGGGGAAUAUUGGACAAUGGGGGGAACCCUGAUCCAGCCAUGCCGCGUGUGUGAAGAAGGCCUUAUGGUUGUAAAGCACUUUAAGCGAGGAGGAGGCUCUUUUGGUUAAUACCCAAGAUGAGUGGACGUUACUCGCAGAAUAAGCACCAGCUAACUCUGUGCCAGCAGCCGCGGUAA